GGCCUGGAGCCAUAUCCAAUCAGCGCGCUGGACUGAGAACCGUCCAAUCAGGGGCGCAGCCGGGGAGGAGGGGCGGCAUCCGGGAUCUAGUGCGGCCUUGGCCUCUUGCUUCAGCCAGAGCUGGGUUAGGGCUUCGCCCUCCUGCUUCCACCCGUCAGGGAGGCUUCGGUGAUUCUGCCACAGCCUCAGCCUCCGUCGCUCUGUGACCAGCGGGUAUUGGAUGAUUCUAGCUAAGACUUCGCGACACCCUUGAAGCCCUGAAAUGAUCCUGUCUAUUCUGGAUGGAAACAUUCCUGUUUUUUAAAUUAAAACAUGAUUUGCCGGGGUCAAGCAUGAAGGCUUCCAGACACUUUAAUGAGGGGUGUUGCUCUCUUUAACUCAGACCUGGUCACCUGUCUGGAACAAAGGAAAGAGCCCUUUAAUGGGAAGACUCAUGAGACAGUAGCCAAAGCCCCAGGUGGGUGAGAGUGAAUGAAGGAGAUGACACAGGCAAGGGGACCAAAGGUGAAGAAGGAAGCCAGGCCUUAAAAUGUAGUUUGAGAAGUUCUUCUCCAAUCAAAAUAAUUUCUGACAAGGCUGCAUUUUCUUCUCAUGUUCACAAAUAGGGGCAUCUUCGGUCCCAUGCUGUUAAAUCUUCUAAGAAUUCUCUUUUUAGUGAUCUCCUUUCAAGAUUACAUGGAGAGACAGUGUCCACUUUAUCACUUAUAAGGGCUGCACGAUCUGACUGCUGUUCCAUUGCUUUUGCAGACAUAGGAAUAUUUGUGUUAUUGAGGAGCCCUAUGUUAAUUUAUUUUUUUCAGACAUUGUUUUAGCAUCAUGUCUAAAAUAACAUAUUUUUUUUCAAAUAUUGAUUUUGUUUCAUGCCUAAAUGUGUAAGGCAAGUAGUGGACAUAUUGGGAUUUGGUUCAGAAAUCCCAGGAACACCAGGGACAGAUGUUGCAGAUUUUCUGCUUACUGAUUUUUAAUCCUAUUAUAAAUGUAAUUCUACAAAAAUUCUUUCCUAGCAAUUUUUUCAGAACAAUAAGCAUUUUCCUUAAAUAUGAAAAAUGUAAUGUUGAUUGUACUUUAAAAUGUUAUUGUUUUAGUAUAAACUAAGAUUUGUAAUUUAAACUCUGUAUGUGUAAAUUUUCAAGUUAUAAUAUAGUUUAAAGCAUGGGUUUCCAACCUUUUGGCUUCCCUGGGCCACAUUAGAAGCAGAAUUGUCUUGGGUCACACAUAAAAUACAUUAACACUAAUGAUACCUGAUGAGCUUUACAAAAAAAAAAGUUCGUGAAUAAUUUUUAUGAUAUCUACCACAACAGAUAAGCAAAAUGUUCUUACAUUCAUAGGGUUGGACACCACUUGAUUAAAGUACCUACUCACCUUCUAGAUUUCUUAAAUGUACUGUCAUAAACCAGCUUAGAACAUUGUUAAGUAUAUAUUAUUCUUUAAUAACUAUUAUCUUACAAUUUUAGUAAGAAGCCUACUGGGAUUCUGUUAUUGAGAUCUAUCUAUAUAUAAAAAUGUGGGUCUCACACAUAUGCACAUCUAUAUAAGUUAUAGAUGUGUAUUGUAAAUUCUCACUUAACAUUGUUGAUAGGUUCAUGGAAACUGUAAAUGAAGCAACAUAUUGUUUAAAAAAACUAAUUUUGGCUGGGCAUGGUGGCUAACACCUGUAAUCCCAGCACUUUGGGAGGCUGAGGUGGGCAAAUCACAAGGUCAGGAGUUCCGGAUCAGCCUGGCCAACAUGGUGAAACCCCAUCUCUACUAAAAAUACAAAAAAUCAGCUGGGCGUAGUGGCAUGCACUAGUAAUCCUAGCUACUCAGGAGGCUGAGGCAGGAGAAUCACUUGAACCCAGGAGGUGGAAUUACCAUAGUUUACUUGAUAGAAACAAGGGUUAUGUUUGAAUGGCAUAUGACAACAUUGUUUUAUUUAACGAUGCAGUUUUCAAGAACCUAUUUUGAACAUUAAGUGAGGACUUACUGUACAUCUGUGUUUGUGUGACAUGGAUUUUUCUGAUACAUAAAAAUGGUAUAACUAUAUAUUUAAUGUGUAGAAUAUAAUGAUUUGAUAUGCAUGUACAUUGUGAAACAAAAUACAGUCAAGUUGAUGAACAUAUCUAUUACCUCAAAUUUUUUUUGUAGUAAGAACACUUAAGAUCUACUGUUGUAUGGCCAGGCGCGGUGGCUCACGCCUGUAAUCCCAGCACUUUGGGAGGCCGAGACGGGCGGAUCACAAAGUCAGGAGAUCGCGACCAUCCUGGCUAACACGGUGAAACCCCGUCUCUACUAAAAAAUACAACAAAAACUAGCCGGGCGUGGUGGCGGGCGCCUGUAGUCCCAGCUACUCGGGAGGCUGAGGCAGGAGAAUGGCGUAAACCCGGGAGGCGGAGCUUGCAGUGAGCUGAGAUCCAGCCACUGCACCCCAGCCUGGGCGACAGAGCAAGACUCCGUCUCAAAAAAAAAAAAAAAAAAAAAGAUCUACUGUUGUAGGCCGGACACAGUGGCUCACGCCUGUAAUCCUACUACUUUGGGAGGCUGAGGUGGGUGGAUCAUGAGGUCAGAAGUUCAAGACCAGCCUGGCCAACAUGGUGAAACCUGUCUCUAUUAAAAAUACAAAAAUUAGCCGGGUGUGGUGACAUGUACCUGUAAUCCUAGCUACUCAGGAGGCUGAGGCAGGAGAAUUGCUUGAACCUGGCAGGCAGAGGUUGCAGUGAGCUGAGAUCAUGCCACUGCACCUCCAGCCAGGGCAACAGAGUGAGACUCCAUCUCAGGAAAGAAAAAAAAAAAAAAGCAAAUUCUAAGCAUACAUUACAGUAUUACUAACUAAAGACAAUGCUAUUUGGCUAAUCUAAUGCUAAUUUACAUUAGAUUUCUCAGACUUACUUAACUUAUAACUAAAAAUUUAUACUCUUUGAACAACAUCUCCUCAUAUUCCACCCUCAGACACUAACAGCCACCAUUCUACACUCUGUUUCCAUGAGUUGAUUUUUUCGAUUUCUCAUCUACCUUAAAACAAGCGGUUUCUUUGUCUUUCUGUGUUUGGCUUAUUUCAUUUAGCAUAAUGUCCUCCAGGUCUGUCCAUGUUGUCAAUGGCUAGAUUUCCUUCUGUUAUGGCUAAAUAAUAUUCUACUCUGUAUAUACACACACACCAUAUUUUGGCUAUUGUAAACAAUACUACAGUGAACAUAGGGCUGAAGAUAUUUCUUCAAGAUACAAAUUUUAUUUCCUUUGGUAGGAUGCCCAGAAGUGGUAUUGCUGGAUUAUAUGAUAUUUCUAUUUUUAUUUUUUACUGGUUUUUAUGAUGACUUUAUUUAUUUACAUCUCACCAACAGCAUACAGAUUUCCCUUGUAUGUAUGUCUUCAGUGGGAAAAAAAGUAACCUUUUGUCUAUUUUUGAAUGGGUUAUUAUUGUUUUGCUUUGAAUUCUAGAAGUUUUUUAUAUGUUUUGGUUAUUAACGUCUUGUUAGAUAUAUGGCUUGCAAAUAUUUUCCUGUGUUGUAGUGUUUAAAAAUUUUUUUUCUUUGCUGUGCAGAAGCUGUUGGAUUUGAUGCAGUCCCACUUGUUUGUAUUAUUUGUUGCUGUGCUUUCGACGUCAUAUCAAAACAGUUAAUGCCAAGACCAAUAUCAACAAAGACUAUUUAAUCAGCAGGCAGAUCAACCAGCCAAAAUUUCCACCACAACUGAAAACUUGAAUGUGAAUGAAUGGAUUACAACAUGUUCAAGCCUUGCGGUGAGAGGCAUUAUAAUGUAAUAACCUAUCUACUAACAGUCAGCACCUGUGUCUUUGUGCCUGAGGCCAAGAAUAAGUUCAUCAGCUGGGCAGCCACCACUGUAGAAGAAGCCAACCACAAUCAAUGUUGGCUAUGAGUAGAGUUGCCAGAGGCCACCAGGAAUGAGCUACCUUGGAGAAUCAAUCGUCCCUGCCAACAUUUCCGAAUGGCUCUAUCACUGCCAAUGGGGCCACAACAACAACAACUGCAAUCCAACCUGGACUUCCUCUGACCAAACCAAGCAAUCGAUUUAUGCCCAAGUCAGGUGAAAAGUGAACUCCACCUUCACCUUGCAUCAAACGCCUUGGUAUCCUGACCAACAUGCCUGGAAAGGUAUAUACUGGGAACCCGCUGUGCUGAAGGCUGGAUUCUGUAUAGCACCCCACUCCCCCACUUUGUCUGGAGGCUGUAAAUGGCUCCUCUAAUGUUACUCUGGGUUUCUCCCACCAGAUAAUUGUCAAUAUAUACUCCAAAUCAACAAUAUUGUCCCUAA
Macaca mulatta (Rhesus monkey) is the source of this 4245-nucleotide non-coding RNA. NCBI's taxonomy places the organism in Eukaryota, Metazoa, Chordata, Mammalia, Primates, Cercopithecidae. The record is from RefSeq and is a predicted model, not a curated record.